GACGAACGCUGGCGGCGCGCUUAAUACAUGCAAGUCAAGCGAGAACCGGAGCUUCGGCUCCGGGGACAGCGGCGAACGGGUGAGUAACACGUGGGUAACCUGCCCUCGGCACCGGGAUAGCCCGGGGAAACCCGGAUUAAUACCGGAUGGCCCUUUCGGUCUUCGGACCGGUCGGCAAAGGUAGCUUCGGCCUCCGGCCGAGGAUGGGCCCGCGGCGGAUUAGCUUGUUGGUGAGGGAACGGCUCACCAAGGCUCCGAUCCGUAGCUGGUCGGAGAGGACGAUCAGCCACACUGGGACUGAGACACGGCCCAGACUCCUACGGGAGGCAGCAGUAGGGAAUCUUGCGCAAUGGGCGAAAGCCUGACGCAGCGACGCCGCGUGCGGGAAGACGGCCUUCGGGUUGUAAACCGCUUUCAGGAGGGACGAAGCCACUCGGGUGAAUAGCCCAGAGGGUGACGGUACCUCCAGAAGAAGCCCCGGCUAACUACGUGCCAGCCGCCGCCGUAA
This 508-nucleotide ribosomal RNA is filed under the name uncultured bacterium. Its description in RNAcentral is "partial 16S ribosomal RNA". It matches the Rfam family "Bacterial small subunit ribosomal RNA", at positions 28 to 523 of the family's 1533-position model. The record is from RNAcentral.